Aquila chrysaetos chrysaetos is the source of this 1709-nucleotide long non-coding RNA. RefSeq lists it as uncharacterized. Lineage: Eukaryota; Metazoa; Chordata; Aves; Accipitriformes; Accipitridae. The record is from RefSeq and is a predicted model, not a curated record. The transcript has 5 exons.
AUCUGUGCUGCAAAGAGACAAGAGCAACGGCUUCAACCACACGGGUUUCCUUCCCGGGGCGCACGGCAGCCGCUCUCCCCUCCUCCUGCCCCUCGUCACUGCCGCCCCACCGGUCUCCACCUUCCCGUUCCCCGCGUGCGGCCGUGGGGCUCUGGGGCGGCGGCUGCAGCCGCUUUGCACCGACAAAAGCAACCCGGCGCGACCCGAGCCCGGACCCCGAGCCCUUUCCCAGCCCCGUGCCCCUUGCCGCCGGCCCCGGGUGAGGGCAGCCCUGCGGUUCUCCCUGCCCGGGGCAGGGUUCGCCCUGUCUGACUCAGCCUGCGGCGGGUGAUGGGGUCACGGCCGUACCAGCCGCCGUUUCGGGAGGCAUCGCCGCAGAGCCACGCUGCUCCGGCACCCAGGCUCAGCAGCAGGUUGCCCAGGUCGCCCAUGCUCUGCCGGUGGUGCGUGCUGGUCUUCAUGGCGCUGGGCAGGACCUCCUCCGUGUAGAACUGCAUCAUCUGCGACACCGACUGGCAGCCGAAGCUCCCCUGGGGCGAGAGGAGGUAACUGCGUUGGGGCCGGCCACCAGCACCGACCAGCCUCAUCGCUGAUGACUAACAGUUCCUGAUGGGUGAAGCAUAAAGUGGAGUGCCCUUUUUUUUUUUUUUCAAGAAUUUUUUUUUGCUGGCAAGGCAUGACGUUGAAUUUUUCACUUCUGGAAACCUGCUUCCUAGCACCUUUGUAGCACCCUUGUCAGAAUUUGCAAUGUGACUCAUAUCGACCUCAACAGAAACCAAUGAGAUCUCAGCACUGGCGUUUCAGGGAGUGGGGAGUACGUAUUCCGAGCGAGCAGGGAGGAUGAACGAGGCUUUCUCAGACAAGUUUGUUUGCAGAGAGAAUGGGUGAUGUAACCUGGCUGUUUCUCCAAUGAGGUAUCUUAAUUACAGAGACCCACAGAAAAUGUGAACUUGAGUUAUGAAAGCAGUAGAGUUCAGCAUUUGAAAAGCUAUUACUGAAAUCGCUUUGGUCCCAGGGGUAUGACCUGCUUCCCUGCAUGGGAGCUGGGGUGUCUGCUCCGCUUCUGCUCAGCACUGGUCUCACUGCACUUCUUCAGCAGUUUGCCCAGGAUUUAUCUUUUUGUGGAAGUCUGAGGAAGGUUUACUUCGGUAACAGGAUCAGGGACUUCUGUCCCUUUUUGGUUAUUGUGUUCCAUGUAGUUUUUGAGGGCUGUAACUAAGAAGUGGAAGAUGAAGCUGAAUGGUGGAAAACCCCUCUCGCUGAAAAUGGUGCUUAAAAAAAAAAAGAAAAAAAAAGAAGAAGAAAAAUGAUCUGAAGCAAACUUCCUCUGCUAGCUGUCUCCUGCCUGUCGGGAAAGGAGAGAUUGGCAAUUCAUCGCCCACUCCUCGGAAGAGUCUGGCAGCGUGUUUGCUGAAAAUAUAAAGUCAAAUGUAAGAGCUGCAAUCCUUGCAAUGCCCCCGAUUUAUAUUUAUGGCUAAAAGGGGUUUUGCCAGUUGCUUUGUGCAGCAGGGAAAUGUGCUGCAAACGACUGAGUCUUCAGUUUUCCACCGAGACCAGUGGAUGCUUUGGUUAGCAGAGGGCUGUGACCCGGGCUGCGGUGGGAAGACUGGUGUCCCACAGCCAAACCAGUGCUCCCUGUGUGUGCCGGGAUCGGGGCAGAGCCGUACGGGGUGGGGGUUGAUAACAGGAUAAACCUCUGGAAAAAUUAA